RNAcentral lists this ribosomal RNA (554 nucleotides) under uncultured bacterium. RNAcentral describes it as "partial 16S ribosomal RNA". It matches the Rfam family "Bacterial small subunit ribosomal RNA", at positions 355 to 900 of the family's 1533-position model. The record is from RNAcentral.
UAGGGAAUCUUCCACAAUGGACGCAAGUCUGAUGGAGCAACGCCGCGUGAGUGAAGAAGGUUUUCGGACCGUAAAGCUCUGUUGUUGGUGAAGAAGGAUAGAGGUAGUAACUGGCCUUUAUUUGACGGUAAUCAACCAGAAAGUCACGGCUAACUACGUGCCAGCAGCCGCGGUAAUACGUAGGUGGCAAGCGUUGUCCGGAUUUAUUGGGCGUAAAGCGAGCGCAGGCGGAAGAAUAAGUCUGAUGUGAAAGCCCUCGGCUUAACCGAGGAAUUGCAUCGGAAACUGUUUUCUUGAGUGCAGAAGAGGAGAGUAGAACUCCAUGCGUAGCGGUGGAAUGCGUAGAUAUAUGGAAGAAUACCAGUGGCGAAGGCGGCUCUCUGGUCUGCAACUGACGCUGAGGCUCGAAAGCAUGGGUAGCGAACAGGAUUAGAUACCCUGGUAGUCCAUGCCGUAAACGAUGAGUGCUAAGUGUUGGGAGGCUUCCGCCUCUCAGUGCUGCAGCUAACGCAUUAAGCACUCCGCCUGGGGGAGUACGACCGCAAGGUUGAAAC